RNAcentral lists this ribosomal RNA (681 nucleotides) under uncultured Actinomycetales bacterium. RNAcentral describes it as "bacterial SSU rRNA". It matches the Rfam family "Bacterial small subunit ribosomal RNA", at positions 63 to 757 of the family's 1533-position model. The record is from RNAcentral. Lineage: Bacteria; Bacillati; Actinomycetota; Actinomycetes; Actinomycetales.
CGAACGGAAAGGCCCUGCUUGCAGGGUACUCGAGUGGCGAACGGGUGAGUAACACGUGGGUGAUCUGCCCUGCACUUCGGGAUAAGCCUGGGAAACUGGGUCUAAUACCGGAUAGGAGCCAUUUUUAGUGUGAUGGUUGGAAAGUUUUUUCGGUGUAGGAUGAGCUCGCGGCCUAUCAGCUUGUUGGUGGGGUAAUGGCCUACCAAGGCGGCGACGGGUAGCCGGCCUGAGAGGGUGGACGGCCACAUUGGGACUGAGAUACGGCCCAGACUCCUACGGGAGGCAGCAGUGGGGAAUAUUGCACAAUGGGCGCAAGCCUGAUGCAGCGACGCCGCGUGGGGGAUGACGGCCUUCGGGUUGUAAACUCCUUUCGCAAGGGACGAAGCUUUUUGUGACGGUACCUAGAUAAGAAGCACCGGCUAACUACGUGCCAGCAGCCGCGGUAAUACGUAGGGUGCGAGCGUUGUCCGGAAUUACUGGGCGUAAAGGGCUCGUAGGUGGUUUGUCGCGUCGUCUGUGAAAUUCCGGGGCUUAACUCCGGGCGUGCAGGCGAUACGGGCAUAACUUGAGUACUGUAGGGGUAACUGGAAUUCCUGGUGUAGCGGUGAAAUGCGCAGAUAUCAGGAGGAACACCGAUGGCGAAGGCAGGUUACUGGGCAGUUACUGACACUGAGGAGCGAA